Anopheles coluzzii is the source of this 2173-nucleotide long non-coding RNA. RefSeq lists it as uncharacterized. The record is from RefSeq and is a predicted model, not a curated record. The transcript has 3 exons. Lineage: Eukaryota; Metazoa; Arthropoda; Insecta; Diptera; Culicidae.
UUUUCUGGGGAUAUUGAUGACUAUUACAAGAUUGGAUCGAUAGAAACCCGUUGUUUCGUUUAUUACACGAACUUGAGCUUCAUCGCAGCUUAAUUCUUUAACGUACACCGAAGUGUGUCAUGAACAGGUAAGCAAACCAUUUGUCCAUGCAUUUAAUCAUCACUUAAGACUUAAAGCGGCGCGAUAUCUAGCUUUGUAUCAAACGCUCAGUGAUUCUCUUGACAACGAAUGAGGUAGGAAAGAAAGAACGAGAAUGACAUGUGUUACUCCGCUUAUGGCAAUGAAACAAAAGUGUGAGUACAGUCGCACGAGAAAUUGUUGUUCGCAUCGCUCUUUUGCCGUGCGCUACGUGCUCACUCGAAAAACUGUGACGUCAGGCCAGCGGUCAAAGAAUUAAGCUGUAUAAUGGGGAUACCAGUAUGAUAAAGCCAAAGCGAAGCAAAGAUCGACCAGAAGAAUUAUACGCACUGUCGAAGCAAUUCCAUCGCGAUCCGCCCACUCGAAUUGAUCGCUCCUGGUAGACGUUUGGCGAGGAGGUGAAAACAUUUCUCGAAUCAGAACCGUUAAAGCUGUUCAAAUGCGAAAUUGUCGAACCGAUGGUCACCUUCGAUACAGACUAUGAGCCCUUUGUGCAAAGCAUUAACAAGAACUACAAACUGACGCUUCCGGAUCUAGCCGCAAGAAAUUACACCAGGACCCAGCCUCUUGUUCACUGCUACGUCUUUGCUUAUCGGAAGAGAAGCAACGAGAGGAGCGACAUCUCGAAAUGGUGAUGAGCCACAGCCCACAGAGCAGUCUUCGGAACGUCGACAAAAAUGUCUGCCAAAAAAACUCUACCUCCUUUUCGAAUCAUGUUUUGCCGUAUUCCACAAUGGACGCGCAAGCAUACGAAGGGAAAUUGCAAACUGGCUCCGGUUAACAGACAGUAGUGGUAGACUUUAUGUGAUACGUUCCAAGAGUACCACUAACUGGUAUUGGUGGUUGGUACUUGAACUACUUUUUUCCCGAGUUACCCGAAUGAUGCCUUCCAGGGACAUUCGCGUAACUGGGAGUUUCGCACAACUCGAAUGAUAAGUUUUUCAGUUAAAAAAUUAAUGUUAUACAAUUAUUUAUGAGGAAAUGUAACCAUUCGCGUAGAAAAUUUGUUUAGUGUUAAGUGUUCAGUGACUUCUAACGAUUGUUAUAACCGCAAUUCAUUUUACAUUUUUCAAUUGUUGCGUUAAAUUGUAGUGCUAGGAAAAAAGAAUCUCAGAAGAGCUUCGUAUAUUCGAAUCCCAGUUCUGGUUGGGAUUGGAAACUUUGAAACCCAAGCCCAAUGUGGUCUAGCAUUUUUUUCAAGUUUGCAUCGUGGGGGGACGGGGGCGGGGGGGUUAGUUACAGCUGAAAUAAUGGGUCAUUUUGUUUUACGUAAAUAUUUUACUUUUUAGUACAGUAGAACGUCGAUUAUCCGGGGGCGGAGUAACCGUUGGGCGGCUUAACCGUGGGCAUAAAUGUGACAGCUAUUCAAACAUACGGCGAAAAUUUGCAGCGAUAGUCACGUGGGCAAUCAAUUUUUUGUGCAGCUCUGUAGUGUCUAGUGGUAUUUUCGAAAUUCAUUUUUGUUUAUGAACAGUUGUUAAACCUAUAGUCAUUGAUUAAAAUAAUAUUCUACUAACGAUUGUUCGAUUAUUUCAAUGUGAAUUAAUCAUAAAACUAGUGAAUCUUACAAUUUUUAUAUGAAUUUGACAAUUUUUGGACGAUGAUCCGUGCAAAUCGAUUAACCGGCAACCAUCCGGUCCCGAGGUGCCCGGAUAAUCGACGUUCUACUGUACUUACAUCAUAAUUAGUACAAGUAGUCUCUGAGAUACGUGGACCUUAAUUCGAUAUCAAAUCAAAUAAUUUAUUUUCUGACUAUUACUUCCCAUUAAAUGCUACAUUACACGAACUUUUGCUAUAUGUCGACUAUACCCAAAUAGCCAGAAUUGCUUAAGCAGCUCAUUUUGGCACGCUAAAGAUCGCUGCUCUAAUUCGCCUUUUGCAGUAGAUAAACAGCAUCAAAGUUCCAGGCGCUCCUUCUAAAUAGCGCCUAAGCAGCUUCCAUAAGCUACGGUGCCGGGGAUUAUUUUUCUUUGCGUUUUAUUUUCAAGCAAGCGUCAUCGAUGAAAUAAACAACAGGAUUUGUUUUGUUUGUGUA